UGGAAGCGCAGCAGGACGGAAUCAAGGUCUCCUUGGGACCUCCCCCUCCGAGGAUUCCUAAUCCUCCUAGUUUGAGCUCAAACCAUAAUGGUGUGCCAGCUGACCCGGGAAUGAUCUCCCCUGUGGAAGCACAGGUUAGUGGUCGGCAGCAAGAAGAGUCAGAGAAAGCCUGUGUCCCAGUCGCAGAGGUGUACAAAAGGAAGGAAGUGCCAGAGAAGCCGACGGCGAGUAAGAAUUCAGCUCGGUCGGCGCCUCUGAACUAGCUGACUGUCCGCUACGUGAUUCCGCCAUGGAGUGGGCCUCCGGGGAACCCUUUCUACUUCGAAAUCCUCAAGGACGGCACCAUCAUUGGACAAUUAGGCGUGUGACUCAUCCGCCAGAAUCGAUCAUCAUCAUGAUGCGUUGCAACAGGAAGCUUUACUUGAUCCAUCUUUUCUCAACCAGUCUCUGGAAGACCAUUAUCUAGAGUUUUGAAUGCCCCUUUUUAUGUGCAUUGACAGGUGAUGAUGCCCAAGUUCUGAAUGAUCUAAACGUGCUC
This 538-nucleotide long non-coding RNA is filed under the name Spirodela polyrhiza (greater duckweed). Its description in RNAcentral is "long non-coding RNA (SPOL_LNC000221)". The record is from RNAcentral. Lineage: Eukaryota; Viridiplantae; Streptophyta; Magnoliopsida; Alismatales; Araceae.